CACUAUUUUCAACCCUAUGAGUGCCGGUUGCCUUGGAUAAAACGGUGGGACCUGUCACCAGAUUGUAAUUUCUGGGGAUAUGCCUAGACUCCGUCACCAUGCAAGCUAGUCUCCCUGCAGACAAAGUUCAGAGAAUCAGGACAGAGAGAGUUGUUUCUCAACAAAGGUAUUACUAACCGGAAAAACCUACAGUCACUACUUGGUUCUCUGAACUUUGCUAUGAGAAUUAUCCCACAAGGAUGGGCUUUUAUAUCUAGGCCUACUCAGCCUCUUAACCAAACUACCCAACGACCUCAGCAUAGUCACUCUAGACCAACAUGCUAGGUCUGACUUCUAUAUGUGGAGACAAUUCUUGACUCAGUGGAAUGGUAUAAAUAUGUUCUUUCCACCUGAGUUUUCCCCAGUGUUGUGGACAGAGGCAGCAGCCCACUCAGGGUACGCAGCUAUUUUUGGCAACAGUUGGUUUAGAAGCACAUGGCCAGUCGAAACAGCUUCGUUACCCUCGUUUAACUCCACAUCCACCCUUUUUGAAGUAU
Molecule: non-coding RNA, 536 nt
Organism: Pelobates cultripes (western spadefoot toad)
Lineage: Eukaryota; Metazoa; Chordata; Amphibia; Anura; Pelobatidae
Source: the annotation of a GenBank genome assembly